This is a non-coding RNA of Triticum urartu, 3063 nucleotides long. The record is from RefSeq and is a predicted model, not a curated record. NCBI's taxonomy places the organism in Eukaryota, Viridiplantae, Streptophyta, Magnoliopsida, Poales, Poaceae.
GGUAUGACGGCUUCUACUUUUUUCUUGGAUCUCGCUUAGCAUUCUCGUGCUCACAAAGAUACCUGAGACAAAGGAUUAGGAGGGCGGCCGGUGAUGAGGUAGGACGCUGGGCAGAGAGACGGCAGUCGUGCGGGAGUAACCUGGAUCCUGCAGCCGGCGGUGUGAGGAGCGAAUCAAGACGCCGCCAGGUCAUGCCCGACCUCGCGGGUGCAGGCCGACAGCAGCCGAUGACCCUCUCCCGUCUGCCGCACCUCCCUCUCCUAUUUCCUCCCACUUUCUCCAUCGGCGGUGGCGGCGGCGGCGGCAAGAGGAAAGAGGGUCCCAGGGGGAGACGCGGGCUAGGUCUCGCUCUCGCUGCCCACUCGCUUCGCUCCUUCUUAUCUCGCUGCUCGCCGGUUUUUUCCUUCGCGUGGCGCACUCGCUGUACUGAUGGUAUGACGGCUUCUGCAUCUUUCUUGGAUCUCGCUUAGCAUUCUCGUGUUGUGCCAUUUGACCUGGCUGUUGGUUCUUGAUGCCACCACAACUGUCGCUGCUGUGUGGCUUUGUUUAAAUGCUGAUGCCUGGAUAUUCUUAGGUUCUUGACCUGGCACAAAUGCUCUGAUUUUCUGGUCAUAUUGAGGUGCGGUUCUGAUAGACUAUGUAGAAGCUAUUUCAUGAUCCUUAGUGCUUUUUUUUUUGGGCAUCGUCCUGCUCACGAAGAUAACGUGCAGACUAUUGAAUUGAAAUGCGACAUGCUAAUUAGGUAGUGGGUUCUGUUUCAUCUAAUGAAGUGUAGCAUGUGAAUUUCUGCAAAUCAGUUUUGUGAUCCCUUUGGGAUUUUACGAACUGAAAGACUAAAACCAACUACGACCAAUUUAGCAUGGGCUAUAUAUUGGGUUAAGUCAGCCAAUUCAUAAGUUUCAGAAUUUGUUGGUAUGAUCAUACUAUACAAGAAAACUAGGAAUGUCAGUUAACUUUAUAUCGGGUGUUUUCUGACACUGAAUAGCACCGUUGUCAGUAAGUUAUUGUUUCCGCCCGAGUGCAGCAGGGCAUGAACAGUCUAUCCAAAAUUGUUAUUGAAGUUUGCUCAUGACAUGAUUGACCAUAGAAUUUGGUAAGCUGUUGCAUUUUACGGAUUUUACUAUGAAGAACUCAGCGGCUGUUUGGAUUGAUUCCUACAGCUGCCCAUCCAAAAUAUUGAUCGUUGACCAAGCUGGUGAAGUCGUUUGGAUGAGCACUGAUUUUUUGACUCACCCAGCCCACCAGAUUUUAAUUUCUUGAUUUAUGUUUUUUCUAAACAAGAUGUGUGCAGAUCGGAUGAAGAAUACAAGAGGAAGGACCUUGAGGAAGACUGAAGAACAAUGUAUGGAUCUUCAAUUAUAAUGAUGAUCAUAGCAGGGAGAUAUACCAUACUAAGAGCAUGCAAAGAUAAGCACUGAUGUAGAAAUAUCAAGUUUGGAAGAGCACAAAACAAUAAAACAGUUGAUUAAGGCUUCACUUGGUAAUGACAACUCCAUGUGGUCAAAGGUUUGCAACCUGAUUUCCUUACAAAAUGUAGUUACUAGGGGAACCCAAAGUACUUAAUUUUAUAAUAGUUCAGUUUGUUUUUUCCGAAGCAUAAUCUUCUAAUUUCUGUGCUAAACAAUAAUGAGUAUUUGAAAAAUAGGGUUCAAACUAUUUGCAUUCUAAUUCCAGCCUUUCAGUACAUGAGGUACUGGCUGCUAGGCAGAUUGCUUUGUUUUUAAUUGCUGAGAUGCUCAAUAAUCAGGUCCACUAUUCAUGCCUAUGCACAGGAAGAUUAGUUUAAUUAAUCAUUCUUUUUUAUAGCAAUGAUUAGUUUGCUCUCAAAAAGAUGCGUUAGAAGAAUCUAUUCAGUUGUUUCUUGAAAAAGUUCUGCAUGUGGCAAAAGAUGCGGUGGCAAAGGUAUACCCUUUAUAUUAUCAUUAGAUCUGUUCUUUGUUUGGCUUUACUGUUUUCUUACCUUAAUAUUUUUUUUGGGUAUGCAGAUUUCAAAUGAAGCGAACCGAUACAUAAAUAUUUUGUUGGCAAAAUAAGAUCCUUUCAGAUAUCUUGUUGUAUGUACAAAUCAUUUCUCUUUAUGUAUCACUGUUACUUUUGUUUCUGCUUCGUGCAUCCCUACAUAGUUGGUAUCAUGGGUUAUCAACCCCUCAAACCUGUUCUGCUAUCGGAUACCAACCAGAUCAAUUUAGUGUGAGAUUAGUUUUCAGUUGAACCAAUUUUAUAGUUGAAUAUGUUGCUUUGUUGGAACGUAUGAAGGUUUGAGAAGUACAUUGCAACUUAAUGCAAAACCAUAUAACCAUGGUUCUUGGAAUCGGCUUGAAUGUAGCAGUUUUGAUAGAUAUGAAUAUAUCUAUAUAUUUCUCUGUUUCUAUCUUUAACAACUUGCUUUUAUGUAAUUUCUGUUGUGUUGUAACCAGAUUUACCCUUACCUUGGCAGUGUGUCUUGUGUGAAAUACACAUAUGAUGUUCUUAUAAAUAGUAAUUCCAUUAAUUGUCCUUUGUUUGUAACUUAGUUGAGUGGUCUGGUUGUACAUGAUUAAAUUCUGGAUAGAAACUACUUUGUGGAAAUGUGAAAGCUUGACUUAUGCCUCCGUGGGCUGGAGCUGGAGGCUGCGCUGCUCUAUGUGCAGGUGGGUAGUCGGAGGAGGUCACCGAGGGAAAGCUGGCAAGUUGCAGCGACAGGAAAGCUGGCAAGCUGCGGCGACCGCGGACGUAUGGGGUGGCGGCCAGGUCGUUGGCCCUUGGCGCGAACUUGAUGUUCUAUGGUCUGAAUUCAGUUUGAUUUUUUUUGUUUUACUUGCUAUCUGCUGCCUCUUAGACCAGUUUGAAGGAUGUCCGCUUGCUUUCCAGUAUAUCCCAAGCCUUUGCUGUGGAUACUAAAACCACCACUCGCAAGGACAAGUGAAGACUGCUACCCUGUUGCUGUCCUCAUACGCUUGUACUUUCAGUGUUUUGAACAAACCCAGGCUUUAGCACUAAUAAAGGUUGCCUGGACAGCAAAGCCGUUUUCAAUAUUCAUGAAACGUGCAACGAUGGCUCCAUCUAAUGUUCGUUGCCUCAUAA